This is a non-coding RNA of Citrus sinensis (sweet orange), 213 nucleotides long. NCBI's taxonomy places the organism in Eukaryota, Viridiplantae, Streptophyta, Magnoliopsida, Sapindales, Rutaceae. The record is from Rfam.
ACGACCUUACUUGAACAGGAUCUGUUCUAUAGGCUCGUACCUCUGUGUCCUUGAGUUCUAAGGAGACAGGAUAUCAAGUCUGGUGGAUGAAUCAUGACCGUGUGAUCAGAGCGUGAGUAACGGCCGUCACCGACCCUUGGGUUGUUGAGGCUGUAGAGGAUCGUUCUCAGCUGGGUUACCGGCUGGGGUGGUCACUCGGUUGUCUGACAGACU